Molecule: ribosomal RNA, 775 nt
Filed under: Ligilactobacillus salivarius
Lineage: Bacteria; Bacillati; Bacillota; Bacilli; Lactobacillales; Lactobacillaceae
Description: bacterial SSU rRNA
Rfam family: Bacterial small subunit ribosomal RNA
Source: RNAcentral
AGCGUGGCGGCGUGCUAAUACAUGCAAGUCGAACGAAACUUUCUUACACCGAAUGCUUGCAUUCACCGUAAGAAGUUGAGUGGCGGACGGGUGAGUAACACGUGGGUAACCUGCCUAAAAGAAGGGGAUAACACUUGGAAACAGGUGCUAAUACCGUAUAUCUCUAAGGAUCGCAUGAUCCUUAGAUGAAAGAUGGUUCUGCUAUCGCUUUUAGAUGGACCCGCGGCGUAUUAACUAGUUGGUGGGGUAACGGCCUACCAAGGUGAUGAUACGUAGCCGAACUGAGAGGUUGAUCGGCCACAUUGGGACUGAGACACGGCCCAAACUCCUACGGGAGGCAGCAGUAGGGAAUCUUCCACAAUGGACGCAAGUCUGAUGGAGCAACGCCGCGUGAGUGAAGAAGGUCUUCGGAUCGUAAAACUCUGUUGUUAGAGAAGAACACGAGUGAGAGUAACUGUUCAUUCGAUGACGGUAUCUAACCAGCAAGUCACGGCUAACUACGUGCCAGCAGCCGCGGUAAUACGUAGGUGGCAAGCGUUGUCCGGAUUUAUUGGGCGUAAAGGGAACGCAGGCGGUCUUUUAAGUCUGAUGUGAAAGCCUUCGGCUUAACCGGAGUAGUGCAUUGGAAACUGGAAGACUUGAGUGCAGAAGAGGAGAGUGGAACUCCAUGUGUAGCGGUGAAAUGCGUAGAUAUAUGGAAGAACACCAGUGGCGAAAGCGGCUCUCUGGUCUGUAACUGACGCUGAGGUUCGAAAGCGUGGGUAGCAACAGGAUA